This 72-nucleotide transfer RNA is filed under the name Flavobacteriaceae bacterium UJ101. It matches the Rfam family "tRNA". Rfam says of the family: Transfer RNA (tRNA) molecules are approximately 80 nucleotides in length. The record is from Rfam by way of RNAcentral. RNAcentral also lists the same sequence under 1 other name. Lineage: Bacteria; Pseudomonadati; Bacteroidota; Flavobacteriia; Flavobacteriales; Flavobacteriaceae.
GCCGGUGUAGCUCAGUGGUAGAGCGUUUCCUUGGUAAGGAAGAGGUCACGAGUUCAAUUCUCGUCAUUGGCU